GCAGGUGGCAAGCGUUGUCCGGGAAUUAUUGGGGCGUAAAGCGCGCGCAGGCGGUUCUUUAAGUCUGAUGUGAAAGCCCACGGGCUCAACCGUGGAGGGUCAUUGGAAACUGGAGAACUUGAGUACAGAAGAGGAAAGCGGAAUUCCACGUGUAGCGGUGAAAUGCGUAGAGAUGUGGAGGAACACCAGUGGCGAAGGCGGCUUUCUGGUCUGUAACUGACGCUGAGGCGCGAAAGCGUGGGGAGCAAACAGGAUUAGAUACCCUGGUAGUCCACGCCGUAAACGAUGAGUGCUAAGUGUUAGGGGGUUUCCGCCCCUUAGUGCUGCAGCUAACGCAUUAAGCACUCCGCCUGGGGAGUACGGCCGCAAAGGCUGA
RNAcentral lists this ribosomal RNA (376 nucleotides) under uncultured organism. Its description in RNAcentral is "partial 16S ribosomal RNA". It matches the Rfam family "Bacterial small subunit ribosomal RNA", at positions 527 to 897 of the family's 1533-position model. The record is from RNAcentral.